GUGCCAGCCGCUUUCGGGGAUUCCAGCUCCAAUAGCGUAUAUUAAAGUGGUUGUUGUUAAAAAGCUCGUAGUUGAACCUUGGGCCUGGCUGGCCGGUCCGCCUCACCGCGUGCACUGGUCCGGCCGGGCCUUUCCCUCUGUGGAACCCCAUACCCUUCACUGGGCGUGGCGGGGAAACAGGACAUUUACUUUGAAAAAAUUAGAGUGCUCCAGGCAGGCCUAUGCUCGAAUACAUUAGCAUGGAAUAAUAAAAUAGGACGCGCGGUUCUAUUUUGUUGGUUUAUAGGACCGCCGUAAUGAUUAAUAGGGACAGUCGGGGGCAUCAGUAAUCAACUGUCAGAGGUGAAAUUCUUGGAUCAGUUGAAGACUAACUACUGCGAAAGCAUUUGCCAAGGAUGUUUUCAUUAAUCAGGAACGAAAGAUAGGGGGAUCUAAGACGAUCAGAUACCGUCGUAGACUUAACCAUAAACUAUGCGGACUAGGGAUCGACUGUGUUAUACAUUGACCCGUUCGGCACCUUACUAGAGAUCAAAAGUGCUUUAGCUCCUGGAGGGAGUAUAGUCGCGAUGUGGAAACUGUAAAGAAAUUGAAUGCAAGAGCGCCCCCACAGAGUGGAGCCAGCUGCCUGAUAUCUGCUCAUACCGGGGAAAUACUCAGGUCCAGGACACAAAGUACUUGUACACUCUGAGGCUCGCUCUGCAUGUUUACGGUGCGUGUCAGCAGCGCUGCUCAUAGCU
Molecule: ribosomal RNA, 737 nt
Filed under: uncultured fungus
Lineage: Eukaryota; Fungi
Description: bacterial SSU rRNA
Rfam family: Eukaryotic small subunit ribosomal RNA
Source: RNAcentral